RNAcentral lists this long non-coding RNA (638 nucleotides) under Gopherus agassizii (Agassiz's desert tortoise). RNAcentral's name for it is "lncRNA (ENSGAGG00000020771.1)". Lineage: Eukaryota; Metazoa; Chordata; Testudines; Testudinidae. The record is from RNAcentral.
GUCUGCCUUGAGUGGGCUGGGCGGGGCUGCAGGAGCAUACAGAGGGUUUCGCUAAUUUGAUGAUGCAUUUUAAUGGGUCUUUCAGUCUUGUCAGAACUUCGGAAACAUCCUUUAGGGCGCCUGAGCUGGGCUGCAUGUUAUCAAGUGAGCCCAAUGAGGAACAGACCCCGAGCAGGGCGUGUGGGUUGGUGGUUAAAGCAGGGGCUGGGAGCCUGGGUUCGCUUCUACAGGGAGANAGGAUUCCUGGGUUCGCUUCUACAGGGAGACCUGCCCUGGUUUAAGGGGAAAUAGCAACAAUUUCAGACCCGGGUUUUGAUCAGAAACAUCCAGGAGAGAAUUUCAUCCAAAAAAAAAAAAAAACUGGAAUAAGGGAAACCAAACCAACUUUGAAGUGUCAGAGAAUCUCACAAAAUGCUUUCCCAACAGGCUGCUUAGACGUUGUCGUCAGCACUUUGGGGUCGGGACUGUUUUUCUGUCUCUGUUUGUACAGCACCUAGCACAGCGGGGGUCUGGUCCGUGGCUGGGGCUCCUCGGUACCACAAAUAAUCAGACCGCUCGGUGGAUCUCAGUUGGCAUCCCCUGCAUGUCUGGCAGAUCCGAAGCAUGAAGGGAGAUCUACAUUAAACAUGAAGGCCUGG